Long non-coding RNA from Bos indicus x Bos taurus (hybrid cattle), 668 nucleotides. Lineage: Eukaryota; Metazoa; Chordata; Mammalia; Artiodactyla; Bovidae. The record is from Ensembl.
AAUCUGGUCCUGAAUCCACAGUUGAUAGAACAUACACAUGGAUGAAACACUAAUCAGUGAGAGUCAACAUGGAUUUAUCUGUAAGCAGUGUGCUACUUAGAUGCCGUGUGGACAUCACACUCACAUUAUUCAUCCAUGGUCCUCUCUCUUUAUUUUUUGGCUGCAGUAAGCAUGUGGGAUCUUAGUUUCCCAACCAAAGAUUGAACCUGUGCCCCCUGCAUUGGAAGCUCAGAGUCUUAACCACUGGACCACCAGGGAAGACUCCAUGGUCCCCUUUCUUGAAGACCCAGGCCCAAGUCUAAAGAGCAGGAGGAGGAUUUGAGUGUCCCUCUAGUCUGUUAGGGACUGACCCUGUGAGAGACUGAUAAAACACCUUCGGAGGUCCUGGUAGCCUUUAAGCCAACAAGAGCCUCACAGAGACUGAAGGCAGUGGUUGUGGAAGGAAGCACAGCAUCCUGAACCAUGAAGCCUUUUCAAGUGGCUCUUCAAUGUGAUGGGACUCCAGCAGCUCCUGCUCAGAUGUCAAAGGCAUGAGGACAUCAGAUCUACCACUGUGUCUCCAAGACCUGGCUCUUUGUGAACACGCGAGUUCCCAAAAUAGAAUAGCAGCUCUUCUCCCCACGCCUGAUCUACUCAGCUUGCCACCUCUAUUCGGCAAAUAUGAUUGA